AGAAAUUUACGAAAAAAGCUACUAUAUAACGCAAAAUUACUUGCAUCUUAUCGCAAAAGGCUCUGGACAGGCACCUAACAUUUUAGGACUACCAAAAUUUGCGAAAAACAGCGACGUGGCAAGGGACACGGCAACUGGAAACAAAGGGGAAGACGUUUGGCGUAAAAUUAUCAACCCUACAAGAAGGAAGAAGAAAUAGCAAAAAAUUUCAAACCAGGUGUUUGAAAGGUUGACACAGGGAAUCACGAUGAAGUCACUUGCAAAACUGUGAGUAAUUUGAUAACCGUACAGUUCAACCAACAAGAAGAGCAGCUUUCUCUCAGAUGUCAAAAUGAAAAAAGAUUCUUCUACAACUUCGCCACGAUUUAAGCACGUGAAUUAGACCGGGCUCUAAGCCUGUUCAAGCUUCUGCAGUUAUAGGUUAGCCGUGUUAUAUAACAGCGGUAGCCGCUGUAGGGUCCCCAAAAUAAACGGAGUAAAAUUGAAAAUGUUUAAUCGUGCAAAAGCAAAAAUAGACGUUGUAGAGAGUGGAGACAUAUAAUUGACAAAACCGGCCGUGUAGUUAUUCAACGCCGAGAAGCCUAUGCAGAUAGCCAGAUUCUUUCCAACAGUUUGGAUCUCUAAUCCUCUGCUCGCUAACGUCGCCUACUCAUAACCCGAAGCCAUACGCCAUCAACGACAAGAUCAAAAAAAGCAGGAUAUUUCAGCUGGCAUGGCAGCCAUCACAUCCUCAGCACAGUAACUUUGCAAGUGGAGAGAUAAGUGUUAGAUACAUGAUGUAUCGGGAAGAUCCUCACGAGUGGCUUUUCAAAUUGAACAAAGGCGUUUGUUCCUUCCAAAAGUACGCACAUUUUAUAGUGUCGAAUCCAUGCCACUGAGAAAUCGACAUGAUUCAACUCCAACGAGAUCGAUUUUGAUCGAUGAUUACUGUCUAGUAACGAGUCAAACGUUCCAUUAUUACAGUCGGAAAACUGUGAACCCAGUACUCUGUAGAAUGGCACUUACGGUACUAAAAAUUUAUUCCCAACUAUGAUAUCAUCAACGGCUCCUGUUCAAUGAAUCAUGAUUGGAAUGGUCAUGAGAAGGAAAGAGGCUUGGAACAAAGAGCAUGUGGGGGAAUGGAAGUGAAGAAAUAGAGAUUCUACCGUAUAACCUGCUCAUUGAUGAGCUUAUAAAAUAAUCUGUUCACACCACGGUUUCGAAGAAAAUUAUCGCUGCGCCAUGAAAUUUUACAAGGCGAAAAUCAAGAAUAUGAAAGUGGUGUUACUUACGCUCCGGUUUAGUGAUAGCCAUGUCGAAGGCACGAAACCGCACAAAAGGGAUUGUCUCACAAUGGUACAAGAAUAUGGAUAAUACAGUCUUUCACCGGCAAUUUCCGGCGCGAAAUCAGCAGCACCUCAACUUGAAAACAAAGCUUAAUAGGGCACAGAUUUAGAGCCACGGGCUGGGAUCGACCGGCAGCGAAAAGCGACUCCCGGCAAAGAAUUAGGCACCCCUAGUUUGAUCCGCACGAGGAAUUGGCAGAUUACCAACGUUCCUGGCAACGUCGAGUUAUAUUUAGUUUAACCGAGGCGAGGCAAACCAACGCUAGAACUUUGGAAUCCGCAGAUUGCGAACGACACUUGCGGGCUUUACGGUCUUCUUCUACCUGCUGCAGCUCAUCCGACACUGUCUGCGGCCGCCAUUUGCCCAGGCCACGAACCUCUGCUAAGUCUCUUCUUUGCUAGUAGUGCGUGCGUGAACAAAACGAUGGGCGGUACUUGUUUGGGGCUAAAGUAAGGCGAAAGUCCGGGUUCUCUUCGGUGACCGAAUCUCCGGCAAACUUGAAGACUGUCAGAGGGUUGAAAAUCGGAAAUUAACGCUUCACGGGCGCAUGGUAGAUUUUUGCAUCGAGAAAUGGAAACUUGAUUGCUUCACGGGGCAGAGUUCGGGAGUUAUUCAAGUUUGGAGAAGGAGAAGCAGGAUGAUUGAUGAGCAUUGACUCCGCGCAAGCAAACUGCUAACAAGGCGGAUGAGACCGAUUAAGAAUCCAAAUUGGAGAAAAUCAAACACCGAGGAAGAAGAGGACGACUUUGUUCUCACUCCAUGAGCGAUAUGCAGAGGGUGUUGGUGUUACCAAUUACCCAUUCCAACUGCAUGCUGCACCUUGAUUGCCAAUGUUCGAUUCCCAAUCAGGUUACGUUUUCCAUCAUGACUUAAUUCGGAUGUCUGAACAACUCGCCCAUUCUGUACCAAGAUUUAACUCUCUUACUCAAUGUAUAAGUGAAAUCUUUGUAUCCGCACAGUCAAUCAGAACCUAGAAUAAUUCUUUUCUCGUCAAAUAUGCGGACUGAUGUAAUUUCAUUAAACUGCAAAUGUGAAUUAUUGUAAUAUAAAUGAAGAUU
This 2384-nucleotide long non-coding RNA is filed under the name Neodiprion lecontei (redheaded pine sawfly). RNAcentral's name for it is "uncharacterized LOC124292728, transcript variant X1". Lineage: Eukaryota; Metazoa; Arthropoda; Insecta; Hymenoptera; Diprionidae. The record is from RNAcentral.